GCUGGGCAUGGUGGUGCAUGCCUGUCAUCCCAGCUACUCAGGAGGCUGAGGCAGGAGAAUCGCUUGAGCCUGGGAGGCAAAGGUUGCAGUGAGCCAAGAUCGUGCCACUGCACUCCAGCCUGGGCGACAGAGUGAGACUCUGUUUUUU
This 148-nucleotide non-coding RNA is filed under the name Nomascus leucogenys (northern white-cheeked gibbon). The record is from Rfam by way of RNAcentral. Lineage: Eukaryota; Metazoa; Chordata; Mammalia; Primates; Hylobatidae.